AUUGAACGCUGGCGGCAGGCCUAACACAUGCAAGUCGAGCGGAUGAAGGGAGCUUGCUCCUGGAUUCAGCGGCGGACGGGUGAGUAAUGCCUAGGAAUCUGCCUGGUAGUGGGGGAUAACGUCCGGAAACGGGCGCUAAUACCGCAUACGUCCUGAGGGAGAAAGUGGGGGAUCUUCGGACCUCACGCUAUCAGAUGAGCCUAGGUCGGAUUAGCUAGUUGGUGGGGUAAAGGCCUACCAAGGCGACGAUCCGUAACUGGACUGAGAGGAUGAUCAGUCAUGCAGGAACUGGACGAUGGUAGAGAAUCGGAGGGGAGGAGGGAGUGGGUAAGAGUGGGCGAGGGGGGGAAGGGUGACACGGCGAGGCGGGGUUGGGGAAGAAGUUGUUCGGAUGGUGAAGGACUGUGAGUUGGGAGGAAGAGCAGUAUUUUAUUACCGUGCGGUUUCGACGAAACCAACAGAAGCAGCACCGGCAAUCUUCGCGCCAGCGGCCGCGGUAAUAAUCGGAAGAGCACAGGUCCGAAC
Molecule: ribosomal RNA, 525 nt
Filed under: uncultured bacterium
Lineage: Bacteria
Description: partial 16S ribosomal RNA
Rfam family: Bacterial small subunit ribosomal RNA
Source: RNAcentral